RNAcentral lists this signal recognition particle RNA (265 nucleotides) under Bacillota bacterium. Its description in RNAcentral is "signal recognition particle sRNA large type". It matches the Rfam family "Bacterial large signal recognition particle RNA". Rfam says of the family: The signal recognition particle (SRP) is a universally conserved ribonucleoprotein involved in the co-translational targeting of proteins to membranes. Lineage: Bacteria; Bacillati; Bacillota. The record is from RNAcentral.
UCGUGCUAGGCGGGGAGGUAGCGGUGCCCUGUACCUGCAAUCCGCUAUAGCAGGGUUUAAUCCCUGUCGUAGGCUUUUUCUCUGUAGGGUCUGCUCUCUGUAAGUAUCAAUGAAGACCGGGUCUUGCGCAACGAAAACCUGUGAACCCCGUCAGGUUCGGAAGAAAGCAGCGGUAAGCAAGCACUUUCGUGUGCCGCAGGUAAGCCUGGUACGAGAUUACUGCGGAGGUUACGCUUGUAGUGAUAAGUCAAUGACAGGUGCACGG